GACGAACGCUGGCGGCGUGCCUAACACAUGCAAGUCAACUUGACUGAAGGAGCAAUCUGACAGUAGAGUGGCGCAAGGGUGCGUAACGCGUAAGUAACUUGCCCAAGGUAAGGAAUAACGUCGAGAAAUCGGCGCUAAUACCUCAUAAUGCAGCGGAUCCGCAUGGAUAUGUUGUUAAAGGUUUACCGCCUUGGGAUAGGCUUGCGUCUGAUUAGCUAGUUGGUGUGGUAACGGCACACCAAGGCUACGAUCAGUAACUGGUCUGAGAGGAUGAUCAGUCACACUGGAACUGAGACACGGUCCAGACUCCUACGGGAGGCAGCAGUGAGGAAUAUUGGGCAAUGCUCGAAAGAGUGACCCAGCAACGCCGCGUGGAGGAUGAAGGUAUUCUAUACGUACGUAA
RNAcentral lists this ribosomal RNA (403 nucleotides) under uncultured bacterium. Its description in RNAcentral is "bacterial SSU rRNA". It matches the Rfam family "Bacterial small subunit ribosomal RNA", at positions 28 to 428 of the family's 1533-position model. The record is from RNAcentral.